GGCCAGACUCCUACGGGAGGCAGCAGUGAGGAAUAUUGGUCAAUGGGCGCGAGCCUGAACCAGCCAAGUCGCGUGAGGGAUGACGGCCCUACGGGUUGUAAACCUCUUUUGUCGGGGAGCAAAUUCCGCCACGUGUGGCGGAGUCGAGAGUACCCGAAGAAAAAGCAUCGGCUAACUCCGUGCCAGCAGCCGCGGUAAUACGGAGGAUGCGAGCGUUAUCCGGAUUUAUUGGGUUUAAAGGGUGCGUAGGCGGUCCGUUAAGUCAGCGGUAAAAUGGCGGGGCUCAACCCCGUCGAGCCGUUGAAACUGGCAGACUUGAGUUGGCGAGAAGUACGCGGAAUGCGCGGUGUAGCGGUGAAAUGCAUAGAUAUCGCGCAGAACUCCGAUUGCGAAGGCAGCAUGCCGGCUCCACACUGACGCUGAGGCACGAAAGCGUGGGUAUCGAACAGGAUUAGAUACCCCGGUAA
RNAcentral lists this ribosomal RNA (467 nucleotides) under uncultured bacterium. RNAcentral describes it as "bacterial SSU rRNA". It matches the Rfam family "Bacterial small subunit ribosomal RNA", at positions 329 to 793 of the family's 1533-position model. The record is from RNAcentral.